RNAcentral lists this ribosomal RNA (497 nucleotides) under uncultured bacterium. RNAcentral describes it as "partial 16S ribosomal RNA". It matches the Rfam family "Bacterial small subunit ribosomal RNA", at positions 28 to 507 of the family's 1533-position model. The record is from RNAcentral.
GAUGAACGCUGGCGGCGUGCCUAAUACAUGCAAGUCGAGCGAACGGACGAGAAGCUUGCUUCUCUGAUGUUAGCGGCGGACGGGUGAGUAACACGUGGAUAACCUACCUCUAAGACUGGGAUAACUUCGGGAAACAGGAGCUAAUACCGGAUGAUAUUUUGAACCGCAUGGUUCAAAAGUGAAAGACGGUCUUGCUGUCACUUAUAGAUGGAUCCGCGCUGCAUUAGCUAGUUGGUAAGGUAACGGCUUACCAAGGCAACGAUGCAUAGCCGACCUGAGAGGAUGAUCGGCCACACUGGAACUGAGACACGGUCCAGACUCCUACGGGAGGCAGCAGUAGGGAAUCUUCCGCAAUGGGCGAAAGCCUGACGGAGCAACGCCGCGUGAGUGAUGAAGGUCUUCGGAUCGUAAAACUCUGUUAUUAGGGAAGAACAUAUGUGUAAGUAACUGUGCACAUCUUGACGGUACCUAAUCAGAAAGCCACGGCUAACUACGUG